AUUCCAUGAUGUGGGCAAUCUGUGAAAUAAUCUUGAAAAUGAUCCCAAUCUUCUGGAAUGGGUUCACCUUUCUGGUGACAGAAUUCUGAUAUCUUCCCUCAUAGU
This 105-nucleotide small nucleolar RNA is filed under the name Sorghum bicolor (sorghum). Its description in RNAcentral is "Plant small nucleolar RNA R71". It matches the Rfam family "Plant small nucleolar RNA R71". From Rfam's summary of the family: R71 is a member of the C/D box family of snoRNAs containing the C (UGAUGA) and D (CUGA) box motifs. Multiple nearly identical copies of this snoRNA have been identified in Arabidopsis, and it is thought to function as a 2'-O-ribose methylation guide for 18S ribosomal RNA. Lineage: Eukaryota; Viridiplantae; Streptophyta; Magnoliopsida; Poales; Poaceae. The record is from Rfam by way of RNAcentral.